Salmo salar (Atlantic salmon) is the source of this 54-nucleotide non-coding RNA. The record is from Rfam. Lineage: Eukaryota; Metazoa; Chordata; Actinopteri; Salmoniformes; Salmonidae.
UGCAUUCACUACUGUAAGUCGCUCUUGAUAAGAGUGUCUGCUAAAUGACUCAAA